This 95-nucleotide transfer RNA is filed under the name Trichoderma virens Gv29-8. RNAcentral's name for it is "tRNA-Phe for anticodon GAA". It matches the Rfam family "tRNA". From Rfam's summary of the family: Transfer RNA (tRNA) molecules are approximately 80 nucleotides in length. Their secondary structure includes four short double-helical elements and three loops (D, anti-codon, and T loops). The record is from Rfam by way of RNAcentral. Lineage: Eukaryota; Fungi; Ascomycota; Sordariomycetes; Hypocreales; Hypocreaceae.
GCGGUCUUAGCUCAGCUGGGAGAGCGUCAGACUGAAGCCCCAACUUCAAUCAUCCAAUUAUCUGAAGGUCGUGUGUUCAAGCCACACAGAUCGCA